Molecule: ribosomal RNA, 273 nt
Filed under: uncultured bacterium
Lineage: Bacteria
Description: partial 16S ribosomal RNA
Rfam family: Bacterial small subunit ribosomal RNA
Source: RNAcentral
UACAGAGGGUGCAAGCGUUAAUCGGAAUUACUGGGCGUAAAGCGCGCGUAGGUGGUUAGUUAAGUUGGAUGUAAAAGCCCUGGGCUCAACCUGGGAAUGGCAUUCAAAACUGGCUGACUAGAGUAUGGUAGAGGGAAGGGGAAUUCCAGGUGUAGCGGUGAAAUGCGUAGAUAUCUGGAGGAACAUCAGUGGCGAAGGCGCCUUCCUGGACUAAUACUGACACUGAGGUGCGAAAGCGUGGGUAGCAAACAGGAUUAGAAACCCUAGUAGUCC